UUUGGUCUAAGCUGUGCCCUGCCACCA
Molecule: non-coding RNA, 27 nt
Filed under: Homo sapiens (human)
Lineage: Eukaryota; Metazoa; Chordata; Mammalia; Primates; Hominidae
Source: RNAcentral